CCUGAACGUCCUGUCCUCAGCAUGGUUACUGUGUGCCAGGCACUGUGCUGGGCUCAGAGCAGGAACCAGUGCCCUGUUUCAUGGAGCUCACUCUCACGCCAAUGUGGGAGGCUGUUCAAAUGCCAUGUCAAGUGUGAUGUGGACAACAAGAAGGCCCAGGGCGCUGGGAGAUCUACUGUGGGGUUCAGGGUUGGCCUCCCUGAGGAGGGGACUUUGGAGCAGAGACCUGGAGGAUGAUGGAGUUGGCCAGGGAGGAUGAUGGAGUUGGCAAGGGAGGAUGAUGGAGUUGGCUAGGAAGAGGAAGCUUUGGGUGUCAUGACCUUGAGGAGAGAGGCCAGCAUGUGGGAGGAAGUGGUGCUUGGAGCAACGGCCGGGAAAUAGAAUGUGAGGAUGGGGUUUGAAGAGGGUGGGGGAGCAGAUCAUCCAGGGCCCAUGGGCCACCUUAAGGUAUUUCUGGGGGCCAGGGUUGUGACCAACUGAACUUGGGGUCCUCAAAGCACAAGCCAUUUGAAGAUUGAAAGCAGGUGGCAGCUCCAGGGCCGGGCAGCGGGGCAUACAUAGAUGUGGGGUCGGGGGUUGCAGCCUGGCCAGCCACCUUGGCUGCCAUGGGUCGGGUCGGGUGAUCCUGAAACCCCCAGACCCAGUUGUCCAGGACCCCAGCUGAGAGGAAUCCCAGGUUAUACCGUGCCAUGGGAGGGAGGCUCCCAGCUGGCCAGGGGCCCUUCAGAAAACAGAGGCUGAAGCUUGGAAGGGCAGGUGGAGCAGAGCUGGUGGCAGCAGAGUGGGCUCCGGGCAGCUGGCACUGGGCAGAGCUGCAGAACAGCUGGCCGGGCCCCGCUCAUUCUUAUUUUCUCUGGGCGAGGCAGGUACAGUCUCUGCUCCCAUGACUGGCUUGUCAAGCAGUGGCCUAGUUUCUCUAUGGUAGAAUGGCGAUGGUCUCAGUGCCCACCUCACAGCACUGAGUGAAGGGUCAAUGUCAAUGAGGUGGAGCACGUCACACUACCACAGCACCCGGUGCCCAGGAGGUGCUCAAAAAGCAUCCCCUGUUGCUUCAGACUGGGUCUGCUCUCAGAGCUCAUGGCCUCUUGGGGGAGCCUGCCCUGCCAUGAAUAAACCUGAGACCAGGGUCAGAGAAAGGGAUGCAGGAGCUCAAAGGAGGGAGCAUCACUCUGGCUCAGGCAGACAUAGGGAGAGAAAAGGAGGUGCAGUCAGAGUAGGCUUCCUGGAGGUAGUGUCCUUGAAGCCUAUCCUUGCAGAGUGGAUAGGACUCCCACAGGCAGACAUUGGUGGAGGCAGCACAGGAGAAUGGAAGUGUGAUGCUUGGGGGCCAGUGUGGGCAAGAGGAUUUGUCUGUGUCCAAGUGCCUGGCUCAAGUCUGUGCUUGCUGAAUGCAACAGAGGCCUGGGAUGCUGGGAGGAACCUGAAAGGUCUCUCCUGCUGCCUCACUUUGACCUCCAAAUAGAUUUGACCCUCAUGUUAGAACCAGAAAUGGGAUGAGGUCAGGGGAGUGGAGAAAGUGAGAGGUAUUAGCAGACACAGGCCCCUAUGUCACUGGCAUCCCCCGUGCAGAGGGCUCCCCUUCAAGCCUCGCCCACACUCCAUGGGGAGUGACAGGUGGGCAAUAGCAUGGGGCUGGUUAGAAACCCCAGCCCUCAAGCACCCUUUCCCUGGGGACCAGGACAAAGCCAGGCCCAGGAAGCCAGUGGCCAGCUGUCUCUAUUCACCUGUUGGGGACGUGUCCUGAACUGGUUUGGGGUGGUUUUCUUGGAAAGGCUGUAUUUUGAGGUGGUGGUGGUGGGUUGUUGCCGACCUGGCCUAUCUUUUUGGGACUCUGGGACUGGGUAUCCCUGAAGGUGGUGGUGCUGGGGGCUUAGUCAAUUCCCCCUGCCUGAGGGCAGCCUGCCUGAGGCAGGGCCAGGUGGGACAGGCCUUGGUUGCUAUGCAGUUCCUCACUGGACCUCUUCCUCCUGGUGCAAAGAUGGGGCCUUCACCCCUGGGGUGCCCAAGCUGUCCCCUCACCAGGCUUCCUCCCUCGCAUGCCAGUGCCCUCCAGCUGCGUUCCUCUUGCCGGCCUCUGUUGCCUCCUGGCUCUCCCAGUACACCCUGCCACCUCCUUGCCCACCCUGCAGAGGUACCUGGCUCCCAGGUUGGGGGGAAGAGAGGAUCGGUGGGUGGCAGCACGCAGCCUCAGGCACUCACCAGGAGUGGGGGCUGGGGGUGGGGGGUGCCCAGUUGAUCUGCUCUGGCCUUCCUGACUCGUCUCCUUUCUCCUCGCUCCCUCCCGGGACACCUGGCCUUUUAAGAUUCUUCCUGUCCUGGAGCUGAAUAUGCAUCCCCAAACCUCUGGACUUGGGCCCUAGCUGCAUCCAGGGCCCAACAAACUAAUAAAAACAUCAGUCACUUAGAGAUCGGAUGUUAUGGACCUGGCCUCUUGCUAACAAUUUUACCUGAACUGUCUGGUUUAAUCCUCAACAAUUUUAUCAAUCCUAUUUACAGACAGAAAAUUGAAGCUGAAAGGUCAGUCUGUUCCCUUGCUCCAUGGCUUCCUUUGGAGGCAUACAGACUGUCAAAGACCCUCUCCUCCCCGAGAUUCCUCAGCCACACCCGGCUUCCUCUCUCUCCCAUCCUGUCUCCUCUAAACACGCAAAUUCCCACAGGUUUUCCCCACUCUGCCUGGGCAUUUCCCUGGAGCUUCUCUGGCUCCAGAAAUAUAGACCAGGGAAAGUUGAAGACAGGGACAAUAUCUGACAACCCCAACAUCCAGGCUAUUGUCACACAGCACUGAAGCAAAUGCAGGCUGGAGAGGUCUCCACUGCUCCGCAGACAUCUCAAACCAACACUCCAAGACUGAGCUCACUGUUGUCUCCCAAACCUGCUUCUCCUUCUGGUUUCAUUUUAGCCAAUAACACCAUCCAUCCAUCAGCUGGGCAAGCCACAGCCAGGGAGUCCCCUGGACUUCCACCCCUUCCUCACCUCCCACCUUACUUCCCACAUCUCUAGGUCUGUGCCCUUCUGUCCAUCCCCACGGUCCAAACUACCCCACACUGGAAGCAGUGCCUGGCACGCAGUGGGUGUUCCAUGAACAUGUGUUGAAUGAAUAAAUGCCUAGUUCAGGCUCUGGCCAGCUGCCUCCAGACUCCCUCCCUCCAAGUCUUUCUCUACUCAGUAGCCAGAAACACAUGGAAAAGCUCGAUCUAGUCCUGUCCCGCUCUGCUUCCAAACCUGCAGUGCCCUGCCGCUGAGCGCAGGCUUUUGCUCACACUCACUCUCCAGGCUUGCAAGACCCUGUGUCACUCGCUGGCCCUGCCUGCCUCUGCAGCCUCCCCCAUCCACUGCUUUAUAUGGAUGUCCCACAUAACACUGUUCUUUUUGGCCACCUGCACCAGGCUGAUUCACACUUCUGUCUUUGCACGAGCCAGCCCCCCUGCCUAGAAAGCCUCCCCACCUCUCCCCAUCUGCCUGGUGAGCUCUCCCUGCUGCAGAUGCCCAUUCAAAGGUCACCCUGGCUAAGAGGCCCAACUUGACCGCCCUGUUUGUCUAUUAUAUCACUUCAAGCUCUGCCGUUAUUUAUGGACGCACCGGGCCUCUCGGUGGACAGAGAAAAUCACCAGGCCCCAGGGGCCUUGUCUUACUCAUCCCUGUGUGGAGCUCCCAGCACAUGCCUUGGCACAGAAGGCCGGAGUGAAGGAAGCAUCAGUUGAGCCUGAGGCACCUGGAAGGCCAGAAAAAGUUUGCUGAUUCCUGCUCUACACUACGGAGGCUUAUAAUCUUGCUGUGAAGGGCUCUUUCUCAGAGCAGACAAGAUUAGGCCUCCAUCUGCAGCUCUAAUUUCUCCCUAAAGCUAUCUUCACCUCCCUCCGGCCUGCCCCUCCAGGCUGGAGUGCAGUGGCACGAUCUCUGUCACCCAGGCUGGAGUGCAGUGGCACGAUCUCCACUUACUGCAACCUCUGCCUUCUGGGUUCAAGCAAGUUUUAUGCCUCAGUCUACUGAGUAGCUGCGACUACAGACAUGUACCACCACGCCGGCUAAUUUUUGUACUUUUAGUAGAGAUGGGAUUUCGCCAUGUUGGCCAGGCUGGUCUCGAACUCCUGAACUCAAGUGAUCUGCCUGUCUCGGCCUCCCAAAGUGCUGGGAUUAUAGGCGUGAGCCACUGUGCCGGCAGUGAAGGGGCUUGUUUUGACACUGAGCUUGCCAGCCUCAGCAUGUCUUUACCACACCCCUCCUGCCCACACCCAGCACCCCCUUACAUUCCCUAGUUCACCUAUCGGGGCCUUUCCCUGAGUGAUUGGUUCUGCCAGGCGCCCUGCUCUUGUCCCUGUCCCCUCCUCUGGGACGUCCCUCCUUGACUUCCACGCACAGCAUGGACACAUGGGUGUGCAGAAGUGGAAAGGGGUACUCGGUGUACAGACAUCAUGUGGCAUUUUGCAAGCCAUGAAGCAGGGCCCCACGCCAGUGGGCUGUUGGUCACUGUGGGUCCCACUGUCUGCUGUUGUGUUUGAAAAUAGCCUCUGGCCUUAUGCCUCUCCACCCAAGCACAUAAUGUAUGACGUGGGUUCUUAAAACUUGGAAUCAGUUAAAAUGUAUCUUAUUUUAAACAAAACUAAUCCAUGCUAUUAGAAGUCAGGAAAGCAAUUACCCUAGGGUGGGGCUUCCAGGGUGCUGGGGAUGUUCUGAUUUUUGAUCUGGGUGUUGGUUUCAUCGGUCUUUUCAGUUUAUGAAAAUCCAUCGAACUUUUCUGUGUGUAUAUUACCCUCCAAUAAAAAUGUCAAAACUC
Long non-coding RNA from Gorilla gorilla gorilla (western lowland gorilla), 4774 nucleotides. RefSeq lists it as uncharacterized. The transcript has 4 exons. Lineage: Eukaryota; Metazoa; Chordata; Mammalia; Primates; Hominidae. The record is from RefSeq and is a predicted model, not a curated record.